GCAGCAGCCACGGUAAUACGGAGGGGGCUAGCGUUGUUCGGAAUUACUGGGCGUAAAGCGCACGUAGGCGGCUUGGUAAGUUAGAGGUGAAAGCCCGGAGCUCAACUCCGGAAUUGCCUUUAAGACUGCCGAGCUAGUAGGUGAGAGAGGUAAGUGGAAUUCCGAGUGUAGAGGUGAAAUUCGUAGAUAUUCGGAUGAACACCAGUGGCGAAGGCGGCUUACUGGCUCAUUCUAGACGCUGAGGUGCGAAAGCGUGGGGAGCAAACAGGAUUAGAUACCCCCGUAGUCCCUGUCUCUUAUAC
RNAcentral lists this ribosomal RNA (302 nucleotides) under uncultured bacterium. RNAcentral's name for it is "partial 16S ribosomal RNA". It matches the Rfam family "Bacterial small subunit ribosomal RNA", at positions 508 to 807 of the family's 1533-position model. The record is from RNAcentral.